UACGAAGGGGGCUAGCGUUGUUCGGAUUUACUGGGCGUAAAGCGCACGUAGGCGGAUCGUUAAGUCAGGGGUGAAAUCCUGGGGCUCAACCCCAGAACUGCCUUUGAUACUGGCGAUCUCGAGUCCGGAAGAGGUGAGUGGAACUGCGAGUGUAGAGGUGAAAUUCGUAGAUAUUCGCAAGAACACCAGUGGCGAAGGCGGCUCACUGGCCCGGUACUGACGCUGAGGUGCGAAAGCGUGGGGAGCAAACAGG
RNAcentral lists this ribosomal RNA (253 nucleotides) under uncultured bacterium. Its description in RNAcentral is "partial 16S ribosomal RNA". It matches the Rfam family "Bacterial small subunit ribosomal RNA", at positions 524 to 776 of the family's 1533-position model. The record is from RNAcentral.